Molecule: long non-coding RNA, 430 nt
Organism: Myotis myotis
Lineage: Eukaryota; Metazoa; Chordata; Mammalia; Chiroptera; Vespertilionidae
Exons: 4
Source: RefSeq, a predicted model, not a curated record
AGGCAGCCACCUGCAAGCCAGGGAGAGAGCCCUCACCAGGAACAGACCCUUCUGGACCUUUGAUCUGGAACUUCUAACCUCUGAAACUCUUGGAACAGCGAGAUGUAAAAAUCCUGAGUCUUCAUAGCCAGCUCCUGCCGAAGAGAGAGGGCCUGGCAGCUGAGCUGGAUGCUUCAGGAGCAGAGGAUCUAUCAACUGCAGACCAAGCAUAGGGAGACGCAGGCAGACCUGGAACAGAAACCCAGCAGCUCCAGCGGCUCCAACAGCACUUGGUGGCCGGACGGUCAGCCGCAGGAAGCGUGCCAGGGGCCAUGAGGCAGGGAAUGACCCAAUCCUUGAGGUCUGAUGGAGAAAGCAAAGGCCCAGCUUGGAGAGGCACCUACUUUCUGAAAUGAAGAUACCUACUUUCAAGCCCAGGCUUUCAGAGAGG